Molecule: long non-coding RNA, 4021 nt
Filed under: Equus asinus (donkey)
Lineage: Eukaryota; Metazoa; Chordata; Mammalia; Perissodactyla; Equidae
Description: lncRNA (ENSEASG00005029719.1)
Source: RNAcentral
AAUAAAUGGAGUACUAAAGUUUAUGUAGUAGAGCAUAUUCCUCUCAAGUCCAAAGAUCCCUCAGACAUUAAGCAAUCUAGAAAAACACACAAAAAUAAAAGAGAUCACUGGAUUUUUAAAUGAUUAUAUAAUUAUCUUAUUUUAAGAGGUAAAUUAGCAGUUCUCUGAACUUCAUUUACUUUCAUCAUUAUAUGACUCUCAAGUGUUAUGAUGAAAGAUAUGCCCAUUUGAAACUUUUUCAAUAGUCAAUUUGUUUUAAGAAAGCAGAAUGACAUACUGACAGAACUUGCGGAGUUAUGCUGACACAUUUGGUGAAAUUAACUAGUGCCUUAAGCAUCCCAAUGGCACAAACAGAAAGUCAAGUGAAAAAUCAUAAAUUAAAGCUCACUCACCUCACUUCAUUGAGGUAAAUAUUUGUGGCCUCUCCAGCUACAAUUUGAGAAUCACCUCAAGGUGUUUUGAAAAAAGAAAGUAAGAUGUGCAGUGACAAACACUGGGGCCGGGUCAGACAGGGGUGAUUCUGUGUGUCCUGGUUCCUCUGCUUAUAAGCUAGUGUGUAAUAUGCAAACAAACCAGUCAUGGUCAUCUCUGCCCUGCUUCCCUCAAUAGGCAACUAGGCUCACGUGACAAUCUGUAAAAGCACAAAGGGUUAUUAUUAAACUUUCUGGAAGUAAAAGUUCUUAUGAAAAGCAAGAAAGUACCUCAAAUCCAUUUUUUGAAAGAAAACAGGUACAAACUAGAUAUGAGGAUGAUAAUCAUCUCCGAUUUCCUUACAAUAACAAAAAAACAGCAGUCAGCACUAUUAAGCUGUUUAUUCAUCUUUCUUGUUCCAAAGCGUCAUGACAGUUUUUAUCGUACAGAGAGUAUUUCUGGCACCUGCUAUCAGAUGGCCAAGACACGCUCAGAACUCACUAAGCCCCGGCAUCUCCCUUUGAGUCUUGGAGGAGUGGCAGUUACAGAAAAUCCAAUCAGGGACGGGGGUAAAUACCAGUGAAAUAAGAACCCCAAAUCAAGGCUUGGCUUUGGGCUUGGGCUGUGAUCCCUGGGACAUUCCAGGCAGGACCAAGCUGAAGCCAGAGAAAAGCUCAUUCCCAGGAAGUAAUGUGACUGAUCUGGAAGCAGGCCAGGACAGAGAAGGCUCACCUAGGCUGAGCGUUCAGCAGGUUUAGUGUGCUAUGCGAGCCACAGAGAUGCAACAUGCUCCUCCCUGUGGGGGAACUCGCCCUGACCUUCUCAGUGGGCUCCAGAAGGCCAAGAGUCUUUGACUCCUUUAUUAAAUCAGCAUAACUUCCCUGCUGUCUAUUCUCUGCCAGGCCCUGUGUUGGGUGCAGAGGACAAAGACAGGAAUCAGACACAAUCCUGACCUUUAGAGAAUUCAGAAUAUGAUAGAAAAAGUAUAUAUUUAUAAGUAAGUCUUAUGAUUCAAGGUAAAAAAGACACAGAGAGGAGUCAGACUAACUUGGCUCUCAGGGAGUUCACAGCCUACCAGAGGCCUAGAAGGCACAACGUAGGCAACAAUACAGGGCAUCCUGUGGUAAGGACCAUGGGGAGGCUCAGACUGUGCACUCCGGAGCACAGGGAAAGAUGACGUGACAUCUACUGAGUAACGCAGUGGGGAAAAUUCAUGGCUUACUGGAGAAGACUGAGCAGCCUAAUCUGGCUGAAGUGAAAAUAUUGAAUCCUACCGCCCUGGGGAAGCAGCUGUGCAGGCUCAGGUUGACCUCUGUGGGUCCCUUGGGUUAGCCAACAGGAAGGGUGCAAGGUCUCUUACCUAUGGCUGCAAUUUCAUGAAAUCAAGUGGAUAUCUGAGGGGAGAACGGUGACCAGGAGAAAUAGGUCCAAAGAGAGCAUCCAAAUAACAAGGGCCUGAGGUAAAUACUAGGAGCCUAGAAGUGAGUGAACCACGAGUUAGGGAGCAUGAGCAGGACUGGCAGGUGAAAUGGGUGGGAGGCUGGUCUGGGUACAUACCAGCAGUAGGAGGCCCCUACCUGUGCUUUCCUGCCAUGUGUGCUGGAUGGAUCCAUUCUAAGGGUCCAAGGACAGGGUGGGGCCUCGGGGGCAAAGGACCACAGCCUAUGCAGUCCUCUCUUUAUGCCUCUAGAUUAUAGGCCUACAGUCUGCUUUCCUCUUUUCUUCACAGCUGCCAUCACCUGCCCUGUCUUUUCCAUUCUACCAACCUGAGAAUGGCUGAAAUGGGCUCCAUUAGGGUGCCCCUAUCAUGGUAUAGGUCACAGAGCCCUGAAGGCCUUGGGUAAUUGGCACAACAUGAGUUGGAGUGCCUACAGCUGCUUUUGUUGGUCACCUGAGGCAUGGACAAGUCAAGCCAGUAAAAGUUACGGGGUUGGGUAGGAACUUAUCUGCAGCGUAACCUGCUGGCCUGUGCAGGCCUCUUUUCCUUCCCAAAUGUUUCAGGGAACAGCUCCAGCCUGUUGUCAUUUCUUCUUCGUAGCGGCCACCACCUACGCCCUCUCUCCAGCCUAGGCCUCAUGUCUGUGCCACUUUCUCUUCCUAACGGUGCCAGGACUCCUAUCUGCUGUUCUUUUCCUUCACAGCUGCCAUCACCCACUCUGUUCCUCUCUCUAAUCCUUAUUCUGGAUUACUCCUGUCCCCAACUCUCUUUUCUUGUUUUUCCUGAAGUAUGCACAUAGGCCCUUUGCUUUUUAAGUUUCACUGCUAGUCACUAAAAAGAAGCAAACAUGAGGCAAAGAGGAAGGAGAAAGGGGAGGGCAAUUUAGAGAUGGAUGAGACAUCUGUUGAGUACUGAUACUGGACAUCUGCAGUGUGCAGAAGUGACUGCCACAUGACUGAGGUCCCUUCCUUGAGUCCCUUCUUGGACGGUUCCAAAGAGUCUUGAUAUUCUCACUCUCUUCAUCCUUGAGUCCUGGUUGUAGGACUGAGCCAUCCUCCCUCUUCCUAUCUAUUUGCCGUAUGGUGUUCAGGAAAGCUUUGCUGAACAAGAAGUUUCUACUACUCAGGAGGGGGCUGCCCGUUUAAUCCUCUUCUCUCCACCAAUUUCUCCCUGCAUCACCAACUCUGCCCACCCUCAAACCUCCCCACGUCCCUCUACUGGCCAACUUGACAGAGGUCUUCUGUGAUGGUGGGGUUCAUAUAAAGAAGUAGAGAUAAGUAUUCAUUAUUUCACCCACCAACUGAAGGUCCUACAUGCCAGACUACAUGUAAACACCCUUAGUAGGCAAAGAGGAGCCACAGACGACUUUCAGUUGGGGAAUGGCAAUAGAAAGUACCUUACAUUAUGCAUAGGCACUCAAGAAAUAUUUAGAUAAAUGUAUAAAAGAGUGCAUGAAUGAUCACAACUGUGUACUGAAAAGAUAACUUUGGCAAAUGUAUGAGAGGCUAAAGGAAUUUUAAAAAGCCAGUCUAGGCCAUAUGCUGAAGCAGGUGAAGUCAGUCUCUACUUGUAUCCUGUAGGACUCUCCCCCAUCUGACUGGUGCAGCCUUAACCCCCAGCCCUCUAGGCCAUGUGCCACGAUGAAGACUUGCUCUCUGGGGUCAUUACCCAGCACCAAAUAUAUUCAGCUGAUACCAGUUUAAAGCAUUAUCCUCCUAAAAUAGAGACAAAAAAGAAAUGUCUCAGGAUAGAAUUUCUGUCACAAUAACAGGCUAUGGGGGAAAUGAUCUAAAAUAAGAGCAACCAAUCUGGUAUCAUCUGAGAGGCCCAGCGCUGGCAAAGCUCAGCCCCAAACCUAUUAGACAAAGAGGCGUCCCUACGUCACAAAUAGUGAUUUCAGUAGGUCCAAACAAAUAGGCCUGACUCAGAGGUUUGGGGGUGCAGAAACCUUCUUAAUGAUGAAGACCUUCUCCAUGGGUAAAAGAGUGGCUGAGCCAGGACAAUGUUCUGAGAAAAACGAACUUGGGGGGAACACAGCAGCAUGGAUAAGCCUGGGGCAGAUGACUCCAGGCACAAUGAAGAUACAACCAAGGCAAAGACAGGGGGAGCUACCAUCACACCAACAUCUACAUCUAUAUCUACAUCUUAGAGCCCAACGUCAACAAACUACCC